Triticum aestivum (bread wheat) is the source of this 2625-nucleotide long non-coding RNA. RefSeq lists it as uncharacterized. NCBI's taxonomy places the organism in Eukaryota, Viridiplantae, Streptophyta, Magnoliopsida, Poales, Poaceae. The transcript has 10 exons. The record is from RefSeq and is a predicted model, not a curated record.
GGGGCAGGCCUCGCCCAAUCCCCCCGCCCGCACCACUCCCUCCCUGCCCACGCCCAAUCCCCUCGCCCGCACCGCUCCCUCCCUCCUUGAUCUCUCUCCCUGGCCAGCCGCCAUUGAUGGGAAACCCUAGCCCGCCGCCACUCGCGCCCGUCUCCUCGGGCCAGCCUCCGCCCGCAACCUCUCCCCUCCCGUUUUCAGAAGGGAAGGGAGGGAAGGGAAGAGAAGAGGGGUAGCGAGCGGGUCAGAUGGCCAUGGUGCUUGCAGAUCCACCGGCCCCGUCGUCGCCGCUGCGCUCGCAGGAGCAUGGCCUCGAUCUGGAGCAGGAGAGGCCAGGAGUGACAUGGUCACAUGGGAGCAGCUCGGCUGCUUGCCGGUGGUGACGGAUGCGCUCAGACCUGUGGCCCGGUCUCGCCGCCGUGCGCCGUCCACCUCCCCGCAGGCAUGCCGGCCACCUCCCCAUCUGACGCACAUCUUCCCCAUGGGGCCAUGGUACACGGUGAGCAGCAGUGUGAGUUCCACACAUUUUGAAGCUACAGCCGCUGGAAACCAGUGAAGAAUGAAGAAAGGUGGAUCCACCAGCAGCUUCGAGUAGGAUAAGGAGAUCUGGACGGAGUUCGUGUUUCAGCAACCAUGGUAGCGCGUCCUCCGACCUUGACCUAGGCAAGCUCCUUCUUUUAGUGAUGUUAGUAAGUCAGCUUUCUCUACCUAGCUCCAUGCGGCAGCCUGGCCAGCUGCCUUGUUCUCUCCACUUAAUCCUUGCUAUUUGUAGGCCGGAGCCAAAUUCAGUUUUGUCUGCAUUCAACUGUAGGCUCUUUAAUGUAUUUUUGUAAGUGGAAUCUGACUUCUCAUGGUCUGCCUAAACAAUGAUUAGUCUAUUGUAUAAUUGAACUAGGUCCAUGGCUUUAAGAAAUUGAGCGAAAUCUACCUUUUCAGGCUUUAAACCCAAUCAUUCAUAUUUGUUGCGACCAAAUGUUCUGUUAUAACUUUAAAAUUGAAAACCAAGUUUCCCUGGACAAUUAUACUUUUUUGUGAGCUUAUUAUUCACAAGUUAUAGUAAUAUGGUAUUAUGGGCUUUGCUCCCAACAUGAUAAGGAGGAAAGAACUGCAGGCUAUAUUGUUCGUUGACAUUCAUGAUCCGCGCUCGCAGGUUCCGACUCUUGUGAGCUACUGCUGCAGAUGAUAUUUGGUCCCCAUCCUUGCUACUGGCUCCUAAUUUUUGUGAGAUGAACAAAUGGUUUAGAUUUACCGUGUAAAGCUGAGAUUCUACAUUGGUUUGGAAUUUAAUUGGUUACCUUUGUUUAAUUUAAUGCCAUGCGAAACCUAAUGUAGAUGUUCAUGUCUUCCCAAUGAUGUUAGUAGGAAGAUUUUUUUUUGCUUUCUUCAUAGUGUAAAUCUGUUGUUCAAGCUUCAAAUUUAUCUUGUUUAUUAUCUUUCCUUUUCUACAAACUAAUGGACCAUAUUUCUACUCAAACAGAGGCAAAGACGUCUUCUUAAUGUUGCAGAAGUUUGGAGGCAUCAAGGAAUGCAUCCUCCUCUUGCUAUGCAAACUGAGGAAAUCAAAGUGAUGGGAAAGCAUUGUACAACAGUUGUUGACUUCAGGAUAUUUCAUGGAUGAGUUAUACUCCUUGACUCCCAUGAGUGUAUCAUCCGCUUGCUAUGCGAACUGAGGAAAUCAAAGUGGCAAAGCAAUUGACUGCAUGUGUUGACUUCAGGAUAUCUCAAGGACGAGUUAGAAUCUAUGACGCUCAGGGAUGCAUCCUCUGCUUGCUACACAAACUGAGGAAACCAAAGCAGCAAAGCAUUGUACUGCAGAUGUCGACUUCGGAAUAUCUCAUGAACCAGUUAUACUCCUUGAUGCUCAUGUAAAAUUAACUCCUUGAUGUUGGUGGUGACCUGCAGGCAAGAGGCAACGACUGGGGUGUUCGAUUCGAUCCUGCGCCAUGGCCCGGUCCCUGCAGGAGAGAGAGAUGAGGGGCAGAGAGAGAAGGAAGGAGAGGAGGGAGAAAGAGAGAGUUAGGUGAAUGCACUGGACUCUUCAAGAUCGAGCGCACCAUUGGAAAGGCCGAGUACGUCCAUCGACAGCCUGCCCAGUGUCCGGAUUCACCAAGCAGUACAACCGGAGACGCUGUCGGCUGCCUGCAGCAGGCAACAAGCCGUCCGUUGUUGUCUCUGCCUGAAGAAGGAUUAUGGUUCUCAACCUCUUUGCUACUCAUAUUAAAAUUCCGGAUUAAUUUUGUUUGUACUUUAACCAGUUCAAGGUUUGGUGGUCGAGCACUAUGAUCUUUGCACACUAAGCUAUUCCGGAGAAGUUUCGAGCUUCUGCAACCUUUUGAAGACAUGAUUUGUAGUUGCGGAGAUGAAACAAUCAAUCAGUUGCGAUGCAUUACAUAAUAUUUUUGCUCUGGACAUUGAUGGGUAUUAUUUUGCCACAAAGGACAGGAGCUGUGCCAUUUGACUCGAAGGAUAAAGCGUUCAUCACAAGGGGGUGGUCUUUAGGAUGUACACAAAAGAGGAAAUUUCCUUUUGUAUAUAACCAAAUUAUAUGAUGUAAUUGACCAUUCUCUUGUACACAAUGUUUAUCAUGUAUUAAGUGCAUUUUAUUGUCAAAUAUGUUUAUUUUUUUUA